Molecule: ribosomal RNA, 253 nt
Filed under: uncultured bacterium
Lineage: Bacteria
Description: partial 16S ribosomal RNA
Rfam family: Bacterial small subunit ribosomal RNA
Source: RNAcentral
UACGUAGGGUCCGAGCGUUGUUCGGAAUUACUGGGCGUAAAGCGCACGUAGGCGGAUCUUUAAGUCAGGGGUGAAAUCCCGAGGCUCAACCUCGGAACUGCCUUUGAUACUGGGGAUCUCGAGUCCGGGAGAGGUGAGUGGAACUGCGAGUGUAGAGGUGAAAUUCGUAGAUAUUCGCAAGAACACCGGUGGCGAAAGCGGCUCACUGGUCCGGUUCUGACGCUGAGGCGCGAAAGCGUGGGGAGCAAACAGG